RNAcentral lists this ribosomal RNA (265 nucleotides) under uncultured prokaryote. Its description in RNAcentral is "partial 16S ribosomal RNA". It matches the Rfam family "Bacterial small subunit ribosomal RNA", at positions 524 to 788 of the family's 1533-position model. The record is from RNAcentral.
UACGUAGGUGGCGAGCGUUGUCCGGAUUUACUGGGCGUAAAGGGAGCGUAGGCGGACUUUUAAGUGAGAUGUGAAAUACCCGGGCUUGACUUGGGUGCUGCAUUUCAAACUGGAAGUCUAGAGUGCAGGAGAGGAGAAUGGAAUUCCUAGUGUAGCGGUGAAAUGCGUAGAGAUUAGGAAGAACACCAGUGGAGAAGGCGAUUCUCUGGACUGUAACUGACGCUGAGGCUCGAAAGCGUGGGGAGCAAACAGGAUUAGAUACCCU